This 502-nucleotide ribosomal RNA is filed under the name uncultured bacterium. RNAcentral describes it as "bacterial SSU rRNA". It matches the Rfam family "Bacterial small subunit ribosomal RNA", at positions 28 to 520 of the family's 1533-position model. The record is from RNAcentral.
GAUGAACGCUAGCGACAGGCUUAACACAUGCAAGUCGAGGGGCAGCACGGGAGUAGCAAUACAACUGGUGGCGACCGGCGCACGGGUGAGUAACGCGUAUGCAACCUACCUAUCAGAGGGGAAUAACCCGGCGAAAGUCGGACUAAUACCGCAUAAAACAGGGGCACCGCAUGGUGAUAUUUGUUAAAGAGAUUCGCUGAUAGAUGGGCAUGCGUUCCAUUAGGUAGUUGGUGAGGUAACGGCUCACCAAGCCGACGAUGGAUAGGGGAACUGAGAGGUUGGUCCCCCACACUGGUACUGAGACACGGACCAGACUCCUACGGGAGGCAGCAGUGAGGAAUAUUGGUCAAUGGGCGGGAGCCUGAACCAGCCAAGUCGCGUGAAGGAAGAAGGAUCUAUGGUUCGUAAACUUCUUUUGCAGGGGAAUAAAGUGCAGGACGUGUCCUGUUUUGUAUGUACCCUGAGAAUAAGGAUCGGCUAACUCCGUGCCAGCAGCCGACGG